AGCUACCUCUGGUGUCAUGUCACGAAUGCCACCUAUGUAUAAAAUCUUUCAACUGCUCCAUGACAAAACUGCCUGUGACAGUUUGGGUACCAAUGGUGUUAUGGAAUGGAGUAGGGAAUGACAAGAUAACCCUCUUCAAUGGAUCUGCUCAAGGCAUAAAAUGAAAAUCUCUGGACAGAAGGCAAAAACAAUGGUUUUUGGAGGUGAAUACCCAGUAUGAACGAACAUAUUCCCAGAUAACAGUAUUAUUGAACAAAGGUCUCACUUCCAGUACCAUAGCUGUGACAGUUUAUGACACUGGUCAUGAUAUCAAUCACAAACUUAAUAUAUGGCUGGCCACAUAUGAAACAAUCUUAAGAACAUUAUUUAGGAAAGUGACAAAAUUUUACAAAUUGAUAGCUGUGCAUAUUUUGCCCUACAGCUCAGAGAUACUGGUGAUGUGUACUAAAUAUCUUAGUAAGAUACAGGGAUCAAAAAUGAGAUUCCUGAAAUCUAUGGAUUGCUGAAUAGGUUUAAAAAUGAUGAUAACUGGAGAGAAAUGAAUAAAAUAGAAGACCAAUGAAAAUAAAGAAAGCUGGCUCCAUACUUGAACUGAAUGCAAAGUGGAAGAAUGUAAAAAGAAAUUUUAUCAUACAGAGCACAUGGAAAAACUUAAAAGAAAGAAACAAAAAGAAGAAAAUACCCCCCCCCCCCACACA
Molecule: long non-coding RNA, 698 nt
Organism: Schistocerca piceifrons (Central American locust)
Lineage: Eukaryota; Metazoa; Arthropoda; Insecta; Orthoptera; Acrididae
Exons: 2
Source: RefSeq, a predicted model, not a curated record